This is a long non-coding RNA of Oncorhynchus keta (chum salmon), 1509 nucleotides long. RefSeq lists it as uncharacterized. Lineage: Eukaryota; Metazoa; Chordata; Actinopteri; Salmoniformes; Salmonidae. The transcript is spliced from 5 exons. The record is from RefSeq and is a predicted model, not a curated record.
GUGAGUUACAAACCACAGCUAGCAGCUCACAGACGAGGUGAGUUACAAACCACAGCUAGCAGCUCACAGACGAGGUAAAUUCUAAACCACAGCUAACAGAGAAGGUACGUCCUGGCUGGGGGCACUUUCAGCAGACGUUCUGUAAUGAUCUGGAAGGUUGCAGACAGAAAUGUCUUGAGACGUGUGUAUUUUCUAGGUAAUGUAUUUCUGAACAAUCCAGGAUAAUGUGCCCUCAUUAACAUAAUCCCUGUGUAUGAGGGAGAGGGCCUCGGACUAAAGAGCAGAUCGUCUGACGUACUGCUACUUAUUUUGUGUAGAGAAAUGAAUGUUUUCUCUUCAGGUUCCCUUCCGAAAUCCAACCUGUCUUUUCACACAUCUUAAAACAACAUGCCAUCAACAAGGAAUCUUUCAAAAUAAAAGUUGUUGAUGAGAGUCUGGGAUGCUACUGUAGGCUAGGUGGAAGAAAGAGGGAUGCUACUGGAGGCUAGGUGGAAGAAAGAGGGAUGCUACUGGAGGCUAGGUGGAAGAAAGAGGGAUGCUACUGGAGGCUAGGUGGAAGAAAGAGGGAUGCUACUGGAGGCUAGGUGGAAGAAAGAGGGAUGCUACUGGAGGCUAGGUGGAAGAAAGAGGGAUGCUACUGUAGGCUAGGUGGAAGAAAGAGGGAUUCUACUGGAGGCUAGGUGGAAGAAAGAGGGAUUCUACUGUAGGCUAGGUGGAAGAAAGAGGGAUUCUACUGGAGGCUAGGUGGAAGAAAGAGGGAUUCUACUGUAGGCUAGGUGGAAGAAAGAGGGAUUCUACUGGAGGCUAGGUGGAAGAAAGAGGGAUUCUACUGUAGGCUAGGUGGAAGAAAGAGGGAUUCUACUGGAGGCUAGGUGGAAGAAAGAGGGAUGCUACUGUAGGCUAGGUGGAAGAAAGAGGGAUGCUACUGGAGGCUAGGUGGAAGAAAGAGGGAUUCUACUGGAGGCUAGGUGGAAGAAAGAGGGAUUCUACUGUAGGCUAGGUGGAAGAAAGAGGGAUGCUACUGGAGGCUAGGUGGAAGAAAGAGGGAUUCUACUGUAGGCUAGAUGGAAGAAAGAGGGAUUCUACUGGAGGCUAGGUGGAGAAAGACAGCUGAGCUAUUAUCAUAGCACUACAAUGGUAGAGGAUAUAUUAGGAUAUUAAAGCGAUCUCUCUUUCCUGUUCUGAUGUUUUUCAUCCCUGAAGAGAUGUAGUCUGUUGCUAUUCUCUCUGUGGAACGGGGGACCAAACAAGAGGUGUAAAUUAGAAUGAAAUGUAAAGAGCAAAUAUAUUUAUUCUAGUGAAUAUCCCAGACUAAUCCUGUUUCGUAGAUGAGAGAGAAAAAGGGAGAGAUGUAUUUAUUCAAAGACACCGAGCAUCUGUAUUCGUCAGAGGUUCUUACUACGAAAUCACUUUUAUUCAAAUGGGAAACUCUCAUGAGACUCUCUCUCUCUCCCUCUCCCUCUCUCUCUCUCUCUCUCUCUCUCCCUCUCUCUCUCUCUCUCUCUCUCU